UACGGCGAGUGAAGCGGCAAAAGCUCAAAUUUGAAAUCUGGUACCUUCGGUGCCCGAGUUGUAAUUUGGAGAGGGCAACUUUGGGGCCGUUCCUUGUCUAUGUUCCUUGGAACAGGACGUCAUAGAGGGUGAGAAUCCCGUGUGGCGAGGAGUGCGGUUCUUUGUAAAGUGCCUUCGAAGAGUCGAGUUGUUUGGGAAUGCAGCUCUAAGUGGGUGGUAAAUUCCAUCUAAAGCUAAAUAUUGGCGAGAGACCGAUAGCGAACAAGUACAGUGAUGGAAAGAUGAAAAGAACUUUGAAAAGAGAGUGAAAAAGUACGUGAAAUUGUUGAAAGGGAAGGGCAUUUGAUCAGACAUGGUGUUUUGUGCCCUCUGCUCCUUGUGGGUAGGGGAAUCUCGCAUUUCACUGGGCCAGCAUCAGUUUUGGUGGCAGGAUAAAUCCAUAGGAAUGUAGCUUGCCUCGGUAAGUAUUAUAGCCUGUGGGAAUACUGCCAGCUGGGACUGAGGACUGCGACGUAAGUCAAGGAUGCUGGCAUAAUGGUUAUAUGCCGCCCGUCUUGAA
Molecule: ribosomal RNA, 559 nt
Filed under: Saccharomyces cerevisiae (brewer's yeast)
Lineage: Eukaryota; Fungi; Ascomycota; Saccharomycetes; Saccharomycetales; Saccharomycetaceae
Also listed under: 1 other name
Description: partial large subunit ribosomal RNA
Rfam family: Eukaryotic large subunit ribosomal RNA
Source: RNAcentral